Molecule: non-coding RNA, 5552 nt
Organism: Callithrix jacchus (white-tufted-ear marmoset)
Lineage: Eukaryota; Metazoa; Chordata; Mammalia; Primates; Cebidae
Source: RefSeq, a predicted model, not a curated record
GAGGCGGCGCGUGCGCGCUCCCUCAAGAGGGCCUCCGCUGGAGCGCGCUCCCGCGGCGGCGGCGCGCGAUGUCGCUCAGAACGCGGUGCCUGGAGAUCUUCUGAGAACCCUGGAGGGUGUACACAUUCCAAAUGAGAGGUCCAUUUGACUUUUGCUUCAAGUUAAGGUGUUUUGUAUCCUUACCAUAAAGUGAUUGAUGAUUAGAAGCUGAUAAGAAUUGAUAACACAAGAAGAUAAUGCAUUUUGAAGGGGUUUUGAAAACAGCAACAGAAGAAGUGGAUUUCAGGUCAGCCCUAAGAAUCUAAAUUUUUCCAAGCACCCUCAUAUGAUGGAGUUCAAAUGAGAAGAAAAAACCCAAGUUAAUGAGUAAGAAUCCAUUUCCACUGUUUAACUCAGUACUUUCCAAACCUGGACAUUGGAAUCACCUGAGAAACUUUAAAAGCCAACAGAUGUUUUGGACCUGAUUAAAACAAAUCUCAAAGCUACAGAAAAGCUGCAAGAAGAAUACAGAUGGAGUCACCAGGCUGGAGUGCAAUGGCACAAUCUCAGCUCACUGCAACCUCCGACCCCCAGGUUCAAACAAUUCUCCUGCCUCAACCUCUGGAGCAGCUGGGAUUACAGGAGCCCGCCACCAUGCCAGGCUUUUUUUUUUCCCUUGUAUUUUUAGUAGAGACAGGGUUUCACCAUGGUGGCCCAGCUGGUCUCGAACUCCUGACCUCAGGUGAUCAGCCCGCCUCGGACUCCCAAAGUGCUGUGAUUACAGGCAUGAGCCACCACGCCCAGCUACAUGCCAUUUUUAGAACGACCCUUAAUUUGAGGUUGGAGCUGGUGUAAUGAGAUCCAGGUGCAACCCUUGAGAUAUCAGGGGUCCCCAUCCUGUUCUACUGAGAAGCCCCAAACCUUCAGUACCUAUAGUUCAUGUACUGCCUCUUCCAAGGAGCCUGCCUUGAUGGCUUGAUUGCAGUUAUCAAAUGACAUCUCACUAUUGAGAUGAUCUGUUUCCUCGUCCUUUUCUCAACGGAAUGUGAGAUUCUUGAGACCAAGAUGUAAUAGGCACAUGAAAAUUAUUUUUUGAGUGUUGACUGAAUGAGUUUCUCUGGUGGAAAUAAUCCCCCCGACUCCUCUGAGCUCCCUUGGUGCUUUGCAUUUACCUCACUCGUGAUUUUUUUCACAUUCCACCUUGUACUAUGAUUUCUGUAUUUGGUAGCUCCACUAUUAGACUCAAUUCUUCUGCAACAGAGAUAAAAUAUUGCAUGUAAAUUAUUAGUACCACAUCUGCUGAUUAAAUAACUAUUAUUAUUUGUGUAAUGAGGUAGCUGGAGUAGCAGAAAAUAUAUUUUAUUUUUUAAAAAAUAGCUUCUGGUGCUGUGGCUCUCGCCUGUAAUCCCAGGACUUUGGGAGGCCAAAGUGGACAGAUCACAAGGUCAGGAGUUUGAGACCAGCCUGGUCAAUAUGGUGAAACCCCGUUUCUACUAAAAAUAGAAAAUUUAGCCAGAUGUGGUGGAAAGCACCUGUAGUCCCAGCUACCCGGGAGGCUGAGGCAGAAGAAUCACUUGAAGCCAGGAGGCAGAGGUUGCAGUGAGCCAAGAUCACACCACUACACUCCAGCCUGGCCAGCUGAGCAAGCAAGACUCCAUCUAAAAAGAAAAAAUAAAACACUAAAUCUAUCAUUUCAUUAAGAAGCUUUCCUUAUGGCUGGGCGCGGUGGCUCACACCUGUAAUUCCAGCACUUUGGGAGGCCAAGGCGGGUGGAUCACGAGGUCAAGAGAUCGAGACCAUCCUGGUCAACAUGGAUGACCCAUCUCUACUAAAAAUACAAAAAAUUAGCUGGGCACGGUGGUGUCCCAGCAACUCAGGAGGCUGAGGCAGGAGAAUUGCCGGAACCCAGGAGGCGGAGGUUGCGGUGAGCCGAGAUCGCGCCAUUGCACUCCAGCCUGGGUAACAAGAGCGAAACUCCGCCUCAAAAAAAAAAAGCUUUCCUUUUAUAAUUGUAUAACCAUAUAAAGAGGAAAACUCCCAGCCCUACCUUCUCUGGCCCCUGUGUGUCUGUCAAGAUCUUCGGUCUGGGUUUGAGUCAACACUAGGUUUGAGUCAUAUUUGCAACCUAUUUGUUUUGUGAUCUUUAGCAACUCACUUAAGUUCCAAGUGUGUUUUUCACAUAUAAAAAGGGACAAUUAUAUAUGGAUCAUAAAAUUAGAUGAGAUAUUAUAUGUCAGACACUAAGCCUGACACAAAAUAAGCUCUUAGCAAAUGUUAGCUAUCACUAUUCAUUAUUUCCUUCAACACCAAACUCCACUCUGCAUCCUUUUAUUGUUAUUAUUUUUUGAGAUGGAGUCUUAUUCUGUUACCCAAGCUGAAGUGCAAUGGCAUGAUCUCAGCUCACUGCAACCUCUGCCUUCCAGGUUCAAGCAAUUCUCCUGCCUCAGCCUCCUGAGCAGCUGGGACUAAAGGCGCACGCCAUUAUGCUCAGUUAAUUUUUUGUAAUUUUCAGUUGAGAUGGGAUUUUGCCAUGUUGGCUAGGCUGGUCUCAAAUCCCUGACCUCAAGUGAUCCAUCUGCCUCGGCCUCUCAAAGUGUUGGGAUUACAGGUGUGAGCCACCCCACCCAGCCUCACUCUGCAUCCUCUUACACCUUCCCCGUGUUCACACUUGAAUCUACUGCCAUCCAGUACCCACACCCUACACACUUCAAUGGUUUUUUUUUCUCAUGUUAAAUGGUUCUUUUUUUUGUAUAUACUUAAGGGAUAUAACAUACUUCAAUAUACAUAUACAUAGUGAAAUGAUUACUACAGUCAACCAAAUUAAUAUAUCCAUCUCCUCACAGUUCCUUUUUUUUUAAAGUUUUAUAGCUUUUUUGAGGUAUAACUGACAAAAUUUUAUAAAGUAUAAAUGUGACAAUUUGAUAUAUGUAUAUUGUGAAAUGAUUAACACAUCAAGUUAACACACCUAUCACUUCACCUCAUGAACCUUCCACGUCUCUGUGUGUUCAGGGGGCUGGAUGGUGAGUAAGAACAUUUAAGAUCUCUCAACAAUUUCAAGUGUUGUAGUAUUACAUGGCAACUACAGUCACUAGGCUGUAUGUUACGUCCACAGAACUUAUUCAUCUUAUAUCUGAAAGUUUGUUCCCUUUGACCAACAUUUCCCCAUUUCCCCUGCCACCAGCCCCUAGCGACCACCAUUCUGCUCUUUGUUUCUAUGGGUUCAGCUUUUUUAGAUUCUAUGUGUAAGUGAGAUAGUACAAUACUUGGCUUUGUCUAUCUGGUUCACUUUACUUAGCACAAUGCAUUCAAGAUUCGUUUAUGUUACAAAUUAUUGUAUGUCCUUCUAUUGAAGGCUCAAUAAUAUUCCGUUUGUCUAUACAUAACACAGUUUCUUUACCCAUUCAUCUAUCAAUAGACAGGUUGUUUCCAUGUUGUGGCUACUGUGAAUCAUGUUAGAGUGAACAUGGGCAUGCAGAUUCUCUUUGAGAUGUUGAUUUCAUUUCCUUUCAUCUAUACCCAGGAGUGAGAUUGUUGGGUCAUGUGGUAGUUCUGUUUUUAAUUUUUUGAGGAACCUCCACAAUGUUUUCCAUAAUGGCUAUACCAAUUUACAUUUCCACCAAGAGUGGAGAAGGGUUCCCUUUUCUCUGCAUCCUUACCGACACUCGAUAUAUUUUGUUUUUUUGAUGAUAGCCCUUCUAAGUGGUGUUAGAUUAUAUCUCAUGGCGGUUUUGAUUUGCAAUUCCCUGAUGAUUAGUGAUGUAAGCACCUUUUCAUGUACCUGUGGGUCAUCUGUAGGUCUGCUUUGGGAAAGUGUUUCCUGAGGCCCUUUGUUCAUUUUUUAAUUGGAUUUUUGUCGGGGGGGGGGCUACUGAGUUGUAUGAAUUCCUUAUACAACUGUAUUCUGUAUAUUAACCCCUUAUCAGAUAUAUGGUUUACAAAUAUUUUCUCCCAUUCCAUAGGUUGCCUUUUCAUUGCAUUGAUUGUUUCCAUUGCUUGUGCAGAUGCUUAGUUUAUAGUCCAACUCAUUUUGUUUGCUUUUGUUGCUUGUGUACUUUGAUGUUGUUUUAAAGGUCUUCAAUGACUUUCUUAUUGCCAAGGUCAAUGAAUACUUUUCAUUGUUUCCACUGCUUUCUUUGGGGUAUAUGAUAUUACUAAAAACUCUCUUCUUUUUGGAAUUCUCUCCUUUUUGUUUCCAUGGCAAUCCAUUCUCUUCAUUUCCCUGAUGAGUCACAAUGUCUCCCUUCUCUGUUUUCUUACUUGGCAUCUUCUUCUGUUAGCCAGACCUUAUGUAUUAUUACUCCCAGAUUUAAUUAUUCACCUGUAUUUCCUUUCCACCUGGCACACUGCUACCUUGACUUCAAUUGUUAUUCAUAUUCCAGCCACUCUUAAAUGUAUAUUUAUUCUUCUAUGUUAAUCUCCAGACCUGUAUUUUUGACAUCUUACUUCACAUCUCCACCUGGAUUUCUCUUGGGAACCUCAAACCUGGGAUAUAUAAAGUAAAAUAUAUCCUCUCCCACCCCAAACCAGCUCCUAAUUCAUAGUCAGUUUUCUGUUAGUGGUAUUACUAUUUCCACAUUCAUCCAAGUAAACUGAUGUUAUCUGUAACUUCUCCCUCUCUCUCACCACACUGCUCCACACUCCACUCCCAUCAAUAUGCACUCAUUUUAUUUAUUCUACUCCUAAACACCUCUCAAAUCUAACUUAUCUUCUAUGUCCUCACUGCCAGAACCUUUAUUUCAGCCAUCAUUUUCUCUUGCCCAAAUAUUGCAGUAGUAUUCUACAUUUUGUAUUUAUAAAAUACAAUAACACUCAUCAGCUAAAAUCCUUUACAGACCUCAUCUUCAAAACGGGACAGAACCAGAGUGGGGCUAUAAAAAUGCAGAAUUUUGUUUUACUUUUUUUUUAAGCUAUGUGGUUAGCACACAGAACACUUCAUUGUUGUUUUUAGGGGAAGGGGCAUAUUUCACUAACAUAAUGUCUCCAAAGCUAGAUGGAUGUGGGAAAAACACUUUUCCCUUCUAGUUUUGAGAGACUUCCUCUUGGCUCUCAGGAGGAGAGAUUCCCUGGCUUUGACACACAUGACCACCUUGGCACACAAAAGGCUUGUGGUAUGGAAAAACAAACUUGUUUUUAUGUCCUCUUCUCCCUUUCCAUCUUUCAGCACAGACUUACCACCCUUAAGCCCAAACAUCUGUUGGGACCUGACCCGUCAGGCACUCUGGACUUUCCAGUGAUCCCACUGAGAUGGCACCUGUCAAAAGAGCAGUGGUUCCAUUUCUAGAUAGUGGAUCUUCAGAUAAAUUCUGCCAUUUUCAUUUCACUUCCUGAAAGUCAGGGUUGGCUUGUGAAAGUUCUUAAACAACAUGCUAAAUGUGAAAUGUCAACCCUCACUCUAAACUUUCCCUGUUCAGAGCAUCAGAUGAAAACUGAGUUGGGUUUUAUGGUGGCUUUCUGAUUAUUGGUAGUCCAGCGAAUAACGGAGUUUGAAAGGUGUUGUAUACUGUUAACGACUGUCUGCCCAUGUCCUGCCUGAAAUACCAUGAUGGUUUAUGUAAAGUAUCUUUAAUAAAGCA